AACGGACAUGAAGAUGUGUGAUUAUUUUCAGUAGGCAGACAUCUAACCCUGAAAACCACUCGCUUGCAGAGCGCUGGAUCAGCAAUGCCUACUAGUUCUUCAUUCAAACACCGGAUUAAAGAGCAGGAAGACUACAUCCGAGAUUGGACUGCUCAUCGAGAAGAGAUAGCCAGGAUCAGCCAAGAUCUUGCUCUCAUUGCUCGGGAGAUCAACGAUGUAGCAGGAGAGAUAGAUUCAGUGACUUCAUCAGGCACUGCCCCUAGUACCACAUUGGUUGAUCGUGUUUUUGAUGAAAGCCUCAACUUCCGAAAGAUUCCUCCAUUAGUUCAUUCCAAAACACCAGAAGGAAACAACGGUCGAUCUGGUGAUCCAAGACCUCAAGCAGCAGAGCCUCCCGAUCACUUAACAAUUACAAGGCGGAGAACCUGGAGCAGGGAUGAAGUCAUGGGAGAUAAUCUGCUGCUGUCAUCCGUCUUUCAGUUCUCUAAGAAGAUAAGACAAUCUAUAGAUAAGACAGCUGGAAAGAUCAGAAUAUUAUUUAAAGACAAAGAUCGGAAUUGGGAUGACAUAGAAAGCAAAUUAAGAGCCGAAAGUGAAGUCCCUAUUGUGAAAACCUCAAGCAUGGAGAUUUCUUCUAUCUUACAGGAACUGAAAAGAGUAGAAAAGCAGCUGCAAGCAAUCAAUGCUAUGAUUGAUCCUGAUGGAACUUUGGAGGCUCUGAACAACAUGGGAUUUCCCAGUGCUAUGUUGCCAUCUCCACCGAAACAGAAGUCCAGCCCUGUGAAUAACCACCACAGCCCGGGUCAGACACCAACACUUGGCCAACCAGAAGCUAGGGCUCUUCAUCCUGCUGCUGUUUCAGCCGCAGCUGAAUUUGAGAAUGCUGAAUCUGAGGCUGAUUUCAGUAUACAUUUCAAUAGAUUCAACCCCGAUGGGGAAGAGGAAGAUGUUACAGUACAAGAAUGACUUUCUCUUGAUUGUUGAAAAAUCAUUACCUGUGGAAUGGCUAGGAAUAUUGGAAGCAGCAUAGUGUUGAUGUACGCAAAACAAGACAGCUUGGUCAGCUACAA
RNAcentral lists this unclassified non-coding RNA (1070 nucleotides) under Homo sapiens (human). RNAcentral describes it as "centrosomal protein 170 (ENSG00000276725.4)". Lineage: Eukaryota; Metazoa; Chordata; Mammalia; Primates; Hominidae. The record is from RNAcentral.